GCCGGGAUGGCGGAAUCGGUAGACGCGAUGGUCUCAAACACCAUUGUCUGCAAGGACAUGCCGGUUCGAGUCCGGCUCCCGGUACUA
This 87-nucleotide transfer RNA is filed under the name Spirosoma linguale DSM 74. Its description in RNAcentral is "tRNA-Leu". It matches the Rfam family "tRNA". From Rfam's summary of the family: Transfer RNA (tRNA) molecules are approximately 80 nucleotides in length. Their secondary structure includes four short double-helical elements and three loops (D, anti-codon, and T loops). The record is from RNAcentral. Lineage: Bacteria; Pseudomonadati; Bacteroidota; Cytophagia; Cytophagales; Cytophagaceae.